RNAcentral lists this long non-coding RNA (281 nucleotides) under Physcomitrium patens. Its description in RNAcentral is "long non-coding RNA (PPAT_LNC005409)". The record is from RNAcentral. Lineage: Eukaryota; Viridiplantae; Streptophyta; Bryopsida; Funariales; Funariaceae.
AAAAUUAUAUAUAUAUAUAUAUAUAUAUAUAUAUAAAAUUAAAAAAUAAUGUAUUUUUUCUACAAUGUUGAACAAACAUUUCCAUCACGUUAAAUCAAGAAAACCACAAAAGAGAUCUCCAAGUUUUAAUUCUCUCAAGGGGGAGUUUUCAAUUCUUCAAUGGGGGAAGAGUUUAAAAUCUAGGAUUCUGGACUUUCUCCGCCCUCGAUAUCUUCGAUUUCAGCUGCUCGUGCGGCUCGGCCCCAACUGGCGUCGUUCACGACGCCACAAACUCACCGACC